Molecule: ribosomal RNA, 431 nt
Filed under: uncultured bacterium
Lineage: Bacteria
Description: partial 16S ribosomal RNA
Rfam family: Bacterial small subunit ribosomal RNA
Source: RNAcentral
AACGAACGCUGGCGGCAGGCUUAACACAUGCAAGUCGAGCGCCCCGCAAGGGGAGCGGCAGACGGGUGAGUAACGCGUGGGAACGUACCUUUUGGUUCGGAACAACUCCGGGAAACUGGAGCUAAUACCGGAUAAGCCCUAACGGGGAAAGAUUUAUCGCCGAAAGAUCGGCCCGCGUCUGAUUAGCUAGUUGGUGAGGUAACGGCUCACCAAGGCGACGAUCAGUAGCUGGUCUGAGAGGAUGAUCAGCCACACUGGGACUGCGACACGGCCCAGACUCCUACGGAGGGCAGCAGUGGGGAAUAUUGGACACUGGGCGCAGGCCUGAUCCAGCCAUGCCGCGUGAGUGAUGAAGGCCUUAGGGUUGUAAAGCUCUUUUGUCCGGGAAGAUAAUGACUGUACCGGAAGAAUAAGCCCCGGCUAACUUCGUG